UUUGGGUUUCCCUCAAACGGGGAGAGAGUAUUUUUUUUAUUAUAAAUUCAUGAUUAUUCUUUAAAUUAGUCGACGUGGGACUUUCAUUAUCCAACAAAG
This is a long non-coding RNA of Cucurbita maxima (winter squash), 99 nucleotides long. RefSeq lists it as uncharacterized. The transcript has 3 exons. Lineage: Eukaryota; Viridiplantae; Streptophyta; Magnoliopsida; Cucurbitales; Cucurbitaceae. The record is from RefSeq and is a predicted model, not a curated record.